UAAAAGGCUUAGGGACCGGCCUUAUCCGAGAUUCUGCGAUUGGCGACGUUGACUCGAAUUCAUCACUGGCCGAACCGACAUCCACCUCAGUUUCCUCAAUCGGACGAUCAUCCAUUGCGGUCGCAAUAAUUAUUAGGUGGAUGGGCCGUACCGCAAUUUACAUUCCCGUCCUCUGGUUGGUGGGAAACAAACCAAUGACGUUACCAGGAACUCAAGCUCGUUGAUGCUGGUCGCCAUCUUUAGACAAGGGAGUUCCCUCUCUAUCUUUUUAUAUUUCUAACUCCCUCACUCUUCAGUGCUACGACGCAUUUAAUGGGAAACACAUUGCCCUCGCAGAACAUCCUCUUUCGCGACUCAUUAACCCUGAAAUGCCAUAUGAACACCUGACACGCCACCACGUUGCUGCACUGCAGAUCCUGUACAGAUAUCUAUAGCUCCUGUUCGUCAUAUCAUCAUCAUUAUCAUCAUCUACAUCGCCAUCUAUUCUAUUA
Athalia rosae (coleseed sawfly) is the source of this 491-nucleotide long non-coding RNA. RefSeq lists it as uncharacterized. The transcript is spliced from 3 exons. The record is from RefSeq and is a predicted model, not a curated record. NCBI's taxonomy places the organism in Eukaryota, Metazoa, Arthropoda, Insecta, Hymenoptera, Athaliidae.